AGGAUAAAAACUAUGUCUUCGCAGGUGACUUCUGUGGCACGAAAGGCGAACUACUGCUACUUGCAUCAAAAUAUAUCAUCGCUGCUGCUUGUGGGAGUGGUGGAAUCAUUAUAAUAGUAGCAAUAGUAAUUUGCUUCAUUUGUAAAGGUAGACAACUAAAGGACAAAACUGAAAAAGACUACUAUAUUACAGACCAGGCUACCCUAAGUAACAAUCAUCCAAUGGGUUUUUUUGGUCGUCAAAGAUUACCAUCUAAUAUGUACUUCUCAAUGAGAGAUAGUACGUAUAACGUUGACGAUAGAAGGUACACCGUGAUCGAAGAUGUAACAAGCAAAAAGGGAAAUACAUAUAUUUACAACCCAUCGUCAGAACCGUCAGCAAAUACAGAAAUUGAUAACAGAUCUGACCAUGUAUACUACAACAAAUCUUUUUGUUCUGAAGAGUUUGCCAUUAAAAGACCACACUUACGGACUGAGAGGGAUUCAUUUCGUUCGGAUUAUAACAGACCAAAGAUACAUCGACCAGAUUACAUGUAAUAUAACUAUGCAAGUCAUUCGAAAGUCAUACACGGCAUAAGGUGUAAUGGACAUAAAGAAUGUAUUUUUGUAUCACCAUGGACAAUGUGACAUUAACCUACCGUCCAUUGAAGCAUUUGAUUUUGUGUAACCGUUACGUUUUGCCAUUUUGUUGAUGAAAUAAUGUUGUAUUUUUUACUUUUUAAAUGAAAGAAUGUGUUUCAUAUAUAAGUGGAUCACCGGUUUGAUGAAGUUAUAAAAUGAAUUGAUAAACAUUUUUCUUAUCAAAAUCAUAUGCAUUUAUCUAAAUAUGUUUAUAUAUUCAGAAAUGACUUAAUAAAGCACAUAC
Long non-coding RNA from Mytilus californianus (California mussel), 864 nucleotides. RefSeq lists it as uncharacterized. Lineage: Eukaryota; Metazoa; Mollusca; Bivalvia; Mytilida; Mytilidae. The record is from RefSeq and is a predicted model, not a curated record. The transcript has 5 exons.